This 503-nucleotide ribosomal RNA is filed under the name uncultured bacterium. RNAcentral describes it as "partial 16S ribosomal RNA". It matches the Rfam family "Bacterial small subunit ribosomal RNA", at positions 30 to 523 of the family's 1533-position model. The record is from RNAcentral.
AUUGAACGCUGGCGGCAGGCUUAACACAUGCAAGUCGAGCGGAGUGAUGGUGCUUGCACUAUCACUUAGCGGCGGACGGGUGAGUAAUGCUUAGGAAUCCGCCUAUUAGUGGGGGACAACAUCUCGAAAGGGAUGCUAAUACCGCAUACGUCCUACGGGAGAAAGCAGGGGAUCACUUGUGACCUUGCGCUAAUAGAUGAGCCUAAGUCGGAUUAGCUAGUUGGUGGGGUAAAGGCCUACCAAGGCGACGAUCUGUAGCGGGUCUGAGAGGAUGAUCCGCCACACUGGGACUGAGACACGGCCCAGACUCCUACGGGAGGCAGCAGUGGGGAAUAUUGGACAAUGGGGGGAACCCUGAUCCAGCCAUGCCGCGUGUGUGAAGAAGGCCUUAUGGUUGUAAAGCACUUUAAGCGAGGAGGAGGCUCUUUUGGUUAAUACCCAAGAUGAAUGGACGUUACUCGCAGAAUAAGCACCGGCUAACUCUGUGCCAGCAGCCGCCGUAA